CAUAUGAGCAAACCUAGAGAAAUCUAGUGACGCAAAACUAUAGGGACUAAAGUUUAUAAAUAGACCAUGUCAGCCAGUUGCCGA
RNAcentral lists this non-coding RNA (84 nucleotides) under uncultured Clostridium sp. RNAcentral's name for it is "Cyclic di-GMP-I riboswitch". It matches the Rfam family "c-di-GMP-I riboswitch aptamer". From Rfam's summary of the family: GEMM was predicted in a large-scale screen for bacterial structured RNA regulatory elements. Genes associated with GEMM are involved in a diverse array of functions, including chemotaxis regulation, signal transduction, secretion and chitin. The record is from RNAcentral. Lineage: Bacteria; Bacillati; Bacillota; Clostridia; Eubacteriales; Clostridiaceae.